This 615-nucleotide long non-coding RNA is filed under the name Glycine max (soybean). RNAcentral describes it as "long non-coding RNA (GMAX_LNC003526)". Lineage: Eukaryota; Viridiplantae; Streptophyta; Magnoliopsida; Fabales; Fabaceae. The record is from RNAcentral.
GGAAUGAUGCAAUCCUACCUUGCAAGGGCAUUGGAUAGAAGACUCCAAGUAGAUUGGGCAAGAGAUCCAAGGGCAGGCCCUAGGGUUCUCAUGAGCCUUAGGGUAGAUUUUGAGCCCAUGGGCUAAGUAUGAUCCCACUUAUCUUUGUAAAUGUUAGAAUAGGUUUUUCCUUUGUUUGGGUCUUGUAUUUUGGCCAUUCUAGCAGUAUAGGGUUUUAGCCUUGUAUUUUGAGGCAUUUCGAGUAGUCUUUGUAGUAGGAAUUUUUUUGUAUUUUCAUGUAUUUUGUCAUGGGGGUGAGCUUAGCUAUUAUAGGGGGUGUGUAGCUAAGCUCUAGCUUCUUAUCUCAAGGAUGUGAGCUUAACUAUUAGAGGGGUGUGUGUAGCUAAGCACUAGCUUCUUUAGGAAUCUUCUCAAGGAGGUAAGCUUAGUUAUUAGAGGGGUGUGUAUAGCUAAGCUCUAGUUUCUCAAGGAAGUUUUCUCAAAGAAGCUUCUUAAGGAAGUUUUCUCAAGAAAGCUUCUCAAGGAAGCUACAUAGUCUAUAAAUAGAAACAUGUGUAAGACUUGUUGUAACUUUGAUGAAUGAGAGUCUUGUGAGGCACAACUCAAAGUUCAACU